GCAACGGAUAUCUAGGCUCUCGCAUCGAUGAAGAACGUAGCGAAAUGCGAUACUUGGUGYGAAUUGCAGAAUCCCGUGAACCAUCGAGUUUUUGAA
RNAcentral lists this ribosomal RNA (96 nucleotides) under Scleromitrion pinifolium. Its description in RNAcentral is "5.8S ribosomal RNA". It matches the Rfam family "5.8S ribosomal RNA", at positions 9 to 104 of the family's 154-position model. From Rfam's summary of the family: 5.8S ribosomal RNA (5.8S rRNA) is a component of the large subunit of the eukaryotic ribosome. It is transcribed by RNA polymerase I as part of the 45S precursor that also contains 18S and 28S rRNA. Functionally, it is thought that 5.8S rRNA may be involved in ribosome translocation. Lineage: Eukaryota; Viridiplantae; Streptophyta; Magnoliopsida; Gentianales; Rubiaceae. The record is from RNAcentral.